Molecule: long non-coding RNA, 1196 nt
Organism: Antechinus flavipes (yellow-footed antechinus)
Lineage: Eukaryota; Metazoa; Chordata; Mammalia; Dasyuromorphia; Dasyuridae
Exons: 3
Source: RefSeq, a predicted model, not a curated record
CCGCCCCUUUCCCCCUAUCCACUUCCGCCUCUCUGAUUUGCUUCUUCAAAUCCUCCCUGGGGCUCCCUCCCCUCUAAGCUUUCUCUUAUUCCCGCGGAGCUUAUUUCUGGAGUUGUUAUCCCUUCUCUGGAAAGGAAGAAACCAUAAAGUGCAGAAAUGGAGCUAAGCGGAGUCUAAGCUGUGCAGGGAAUGAGUGUUGAUGAGUCAUCCCCCCACUUACCCUUGGAAAUACCUUUGCCAGAAAGGUAUUCACCUAUCAGGUGACUGGACCGAGAUUGAUGAAUACUGAGUGAGGGGUUGGACAUGUAACUAUCAGGAGAAUGGAGAAUUUUGCCCGAGUACAGGAGGACGGACUAGAUUCCCAACUGUGCUUACAAUUUCCUGAGGGUGAACUAAGCAAAGUCAGAAUAAGGAACCAAAAGGGAACUGGACCUACAUCCUGCUCCACUGGUCACUGAACUUAUCAGUCCGGGCUAUUUUGAUUUCAUAGAGACCUGAGAGACUUACAUGAACUGAUGCUGAGUGAAAUGAGCAGAACAAGAAAGUCAUUAUACAUGGCCACAACAAGACUAUACGAUGAUCAAUUCUGAUGGACGAGGCUCUCCUCAACAGUGAAAUGAUUUAAACCAGAUCCAAUUGUUCAGUGAUGAAGAGAGUCAUCUAUAUCCAAAGGACAGUGGGAAAUUGCUCAUGAGAUUUGUUGCCUCUAGGCUCCGAGCUGCAAAGCCCCAGCUUCUCUAACAACCUGGAGAUCCUGAGACAAGUGAUGUGGAAACUCCACAUCCACUGGCCACUGUGGCUGCUGCUUUCAGAUCUGGCUUCUCUCCCCAAGCACCACUCCCCCUUCCCCCACCCUCUAUGGCCAUUUCCAGCAGGAAGUAGCUACAGAAGAUCUGAGACCUCUGACCCUUUUGCAAAAGAAUCUGUGCUUUUUAUUUGAGGUGGGAGAAGAGACAGCCCUGUAAAGUUAUGUAAAAUCACCAACAAAAAGUUAUACAAGCUUAAAUGGACUUACAUUCUCUGGAACCAGGAAAAAUUUCCAGAGAAUGUACCUUUUCAUAUACAAACUUGAGCGGUCUUGCCUGUUCUGUUCUAUUUCUGUAUAAAGUAGGCCUUCAGAAAAUGUCUUUGCAAAAUCAAUGCUCUCUUGAGAAUGAUAUUGUCCCCAGGAGGGCUAUCUUGGUGUCUUUCUAACA